Molecule: ribosomal RNA, 497 nt
Filed under: uncultured bacterium
Lineage: Bacteria
Description: partial 16S ribosomal RNA
Rfam family: Bacterial small subunit ribosomal RNA
Source: RNAcentral
GAUGAACGCUGGCGGCGUGCCUAAUACAUGCAAGUCGAGCGAACGGACGAGAAGCUUGCUUCUCUGAUGUUAGCGGCGGACGGGUGAGUAACACGUGGAUAACCUACCUAUAAGACUGGGAUAACUUCGGGAAACCGGAGCUAAUACCGGAUAAUAUUUUGAACCGCAUGGUUCAAAAGUGAAAGACGGUCUUGCUGUCACUUAUAGAUGGAUCCGCGCUGCAUUAGCUAGUUGGUAAGGUAACGGCUUACCAAGGCAACGAUGCAUAGCCGACCUGAGAGGGGGAUCGGCCACACUGGAACUGAGACACGGUCCAGACUCCUACGGGAGGCAGCAGUAGGGAAUCUUCCGCAAUGGGCGAAAGCCUGACGGAGCAACGCCGCGUGAGUGAUGAAGGUCUUCGGAUCGUAAAACUCUGUUAUUAGGGAAGAACAUAUGUGUAAGUAACUGUGCACAUCUUGACGGGACCUAAUCAGAAAGCCACGGCUAACUACGUG